GGUGGCUCAGUGGUAGAGCACUUGCCUUGCAUGCAUGAGGCGCUGGCUUCGAUUCCUCAGCACCA
Molecule: transfer RNA, 65 nt
Filed under: Dipodomys ordii (Ord's kangaroo rat)
Lineage: Eukaryota; Metazoa; Chordata; Mammalia; Rodentia; Heteromyidae
Rfam family: tRNA
About the family: Transfer RNA (tRNA) molecules are approximately 80 nucleotides in length. Their secondary structure includes four short double-helical elements and three loops (D, anti-codon, and T loops).
Source: Rfam by way of RNAcentral